This 397-nucleotide unclassified non-coding RNA is filed under the name Hevea brasiliensis (rubber tree). The stretch from base 1 to 148 matches the Rfam family "U2 spliceosomal RNA", at positions 48 to 192 of the family's 192-position model. Lineage: Eukaryota; Viridiplantae; Streptophyta; Magnoliopsida; Malpighiales; Euphorbiaceae. The record is from RNAcentral.
AUCAGUUUAAUAUCUGAUACGUGGGCCAUUGGCUCACAUGAUAUUAAAUUAAUUUUUUUAUGGGGAGGGCCCAUUACGGUAGCUUGCUGCUGGGGUUCUCGAGCGUCGCCCAUGCGUUGCACUACUGCAAGGGCUUGGUGCACCCACCAAAGCUUAAUUUAAAUGUGUUUUACUUGAACAACUGUUUAUCAGAAUGUCAGCAUUAAUAUUGUUGCUGGAGAAAUGUAAAACCCACAUUUCAUAGGGUUCAAGAAGGGCAUUAAUCCCUUAAAUGAUGACAUUGAUAAGGUUAUUUUUACGAUAAGCGAAUUUGUAAUAAAGCACUUUGUUUUAUACUUUGAUAAGGUUAUACACUUUGUUUCAUAUUUUAAUAAUGUUGUUUUUACAAUUGUUGGAC